Long non-coding RNA from Ornithodoros turicata, 254 nucleotides. RefSeq lists it as uncharacterized. Lineage: Eukaryota; Metazoa; Arthropoda; Arachnida; Ixodida; Argasidae. The transcript has 3 exons. The record is from RefSeq and is a predicted model, not a curated record.
UUGCAACAUGUUUUAACUGUCUCAGGCUCUCAACGUACGCUCGUCAAUUACAGAACAGAGGAUAUGAUUUUGCGUCGUAAGAGGUUUUCGUUGUUCGUUUCGAGCAGCGGCUGCGGUCUUGCGUCCCGUCAGGCCAUGAAAGAACAAAGGAGGAUAUCAUUUUGCCUCGUAAGGGGUAAGCUGUGUGAUAGAAGUGUGUGAUCAAGGUUCACUUGUAUUCAUACCAAGACUGUAUGUUUCGAGCGGCGGCUGAA